Small nuclear RNA from Calidris pygmaea (Spoon-billed sandpiper), 112 nucleotides. Its record names the gene U1. It matches the Rfam family "U1 spliceosomal RNA". Rfam says of the family: U1 is a small nuclear RNA (snRNA) component of the spliceosome (involved in pre-mRNA splicing). Its 5' end forms complementary base pairs with the 5' splice junction, thus defining the 5' donor site of an intron. There are significant differences in sequence and secondary structure between metazoan and yeast U1 snRNAs, the latter being much longer (568 nucleotides as compared to 164 nucleotides in human). The record is from Ensembl. Lineage: Eukaryota; Metazoa; Chordata; Aves; Charadriiformes; Scolopacidae.
GAAGGGGAGACACCUUGAUCAGGAAGGUGGUUUUCCCAGGGUGAAAAUCAUCACUUGCAGUGCGGGUGUGUUGACCCCUGUGAUUUCCACAGAUGCAGAGCUAAUGAAUGUC